This 465-nucleotide ribosomal RNA is filed under the name uncultured Syntrophomonadaceae bacterium. RNAcentral describes it as "bacterial SSU rRNA". It matches the Rfam family "Bacterial small subunit ribosomal RNA", at positions 338 to 795 of the family's 1533-position model. The record is from RNAcentral. Lineage: Bacteria; Bacillati; Bacillota; Clostridia; Eubacteriales; Syntrophomonadaceae.
CCUACGGGGGGCUGCAGUGGGGAAUAUUGCGCAAUGGGGGAAACCCUGACGCAGCGACGCCGCGUGAGCGAUGAAGGCCUUCGGGUUGUAAAGCUCUUUUUCAGGGGACGAAGUCUACCUUGCAAACAGUGAGGUAGGGUGACGGUACCCUGGGAAUAAGCCCCGGCUAACUACGUGCCAGCAGCCGCGGUAAGACGUAGGGGGCUAGCGUUGUCCGGAAUUACUGGGCGUAAAGAGCGUGUAGGCGGAUGUUUAAGUCAGGCGUGAAAGACCGGGGCUCAACCCCGGGGUUGCGUUUGAAACUGGGCAUCUUGAGGGCAGGAGAGGGAAGCGGAAUUCCUGGUGUAGCGGUGAAAUGCGUAGAUAUCAGGAGGAACACCAGUGGCGAAGGCGGCUUCCUGGACUGACCCUGACGCUGAGACGCGAAAGCGUGGGUAGCAAACAGGAUUAGAUACCCUAGUAGUC